GCGGCAAGCCUAACACAUGCAAGUCGAGCGGCAGCGGGAGGAAGCUUGCUUCCUUGCCGGCGAGCGGCGGACGGUUGAGUAAGGUAUGGGGAUCUGGCCGAAGGCGGGGGAUAACCACUGGAAACGGUGGCUAAUACCGCAUAAUCUCUAAGGAGCAAAGUGGGGGACCGUUCUGGCCUCACACCUUCGGAUGAACCCAUAUGAGAUUAGCUAGUAGGUGGGGUAAUGGCUCACCUAGGCGACGAUCUCUAGCUGGUCUGAGAGGAUGAUCAGCCACACUGGGACUGAGACACGGCCCAGGCUCCUACGGGAGGCAGCAGUGGGGAAUAUUGCACAAUGGGCGCAAGCCUGAUGCAGCCAUGCCGCGUGUAUGAAGAAGGCCUUCGGGUUGUAAAGUACUUUCAGUCGUGAGGAAGGUGUUAAGGUUAAUAACCUUAGCAAUUGACGUUAGCGACAGAAGAAGCACCGGCUAACUCCGUGCCAGCAGCCGCGGUAAUACGGAGGGUGCGAGCAUUAAUCGGAAUUACUGGGCGUAAAGGGCACGCAGGCGGUUAAUUAAGUUGGAUGUGAAAUCCCCGGGCUUAACCUGGGAAUGGCAUUCAAGACUGGUUAGCUAGAGUCUUGUAGAGGGGGGUAGAAUUCCAUGUGUAGCGGUGAAAUGCGUAGAGAUGUGGAGGAAUACCGGUGGCGAAGGCGGCCCCCUGGACAAGGACUGACGCUCAUGUGCGAAAGCGUGGGGAGCAAACAGGAUUAGAUACCCUGGUAGUCCACGCUGUAAACGAUGUCGAUUUGGAGGUUGUGGUCAUGAACUGUGGCCUCCGGAGCUAACGCGUUAAAUCGACCGCCUGGGGAGUACGGCCGCAAGGUUAAAACUCAAAUGAAUUGACGGGGGCCCGCACAAGCGGUGGAGCAUGUGGUUUAAUUCGAUGCAACGCGAAGAACCUUACCUACUCUUGACAUCCAGCGAAUCCUUUAGAGAUAGAGGAGUGCCUUCGGGAACGCUGAGACAGGUGCUGCAUGGCUGUCGUCAGCUCGUGUUGAGAAAUGUUGGGUUAAG
Molecule: ribosomal RNA, 1057 nt
Filed under: Arsenophonus symbiont of Ornithomya avicularia
Lineage: Bacteria; Pseudomonadati; Pseudomonadota; Gammaproteobacteria; Enterobacterales; Morganellaceae
Description: bacterial SSU rRNA
Rfam family: Bacterial small subunit ribosomal RNA
Source: RNAcentral